This 872-nucleotide ribosomal RNA is filed under the name Marsipometra parva. RNAcentral's name for it is "partial 16S ribosomal RNA". The stretch from base 565 to 872 matches the Rfam family "Bacterial large subunit ribosomal RNA", at positions 2045 to 2646 of the family's 2925-position model. Lineage: Eukaryota; Metazoa; Platyhelminthes; Cestoda; Bothriocephalidea; Triaenophoridae. The record is from RNAcentral.
UUUUGCAUCAUGCUGACUCGAUAUUUUGAGGUAUCUCUUUUACCGAAAAGAUUUGAUUUUUAAAUUAAUUGCAAUUUGUGCUUACAGUCGAGUAGAUUUUAUAAAUUGGUUUAACGUUGUGAAAAAUUAGUCGUAAAUCUUUAUAACUGUUUUACACUAAAGAUUUCUAUUUACCCUUGAGGCAACGAAGUCUCGUGGGUGUAUAUAUAACAUAUUUUUUUUAUUACGAAAGGGUUAAAAUUACCCCAUUGUUAUAUGUUUGUUAUAAAAUUUAUUUUAAAUUUAAGUUAUUAUUUAUAGUUAGUGUAUAAAUUUUACAUUUAGUUUUAUAUAUGGGUCAAUAAGUAAUAUUAACAGUUUUAUUGUUUCUCGAAGUUAGCCCGUCUGUUUAUUAAAAACAUUUCCAUUUUUAAUAUUUUAUGGUAGGACCUGCCCUAUGUUUAUAUAAAUGGCCGCAGUAUCUUGACUGUGCGAAGGUAGCAUAAUUAAUUGCCCUUUAAUUGGGGGCUUGUUUGAAUGGUUUGACGUGGUUAUUUUUAACAUUAGAAUUUUAUUUGAAAUUAAUAAUGAGGGUACAGAAUCCUCUUGAUUUAAUUAGACGGAAAGACCCCGGGAUCUUUCUUUUUUGCCUGGGGCAGGUUAAAUAUUUUCAAAUUUAUUAUGACCCCUGUAAAGGUUUAAUGGUUUAAGUUACCCCGGGGAUAACAGUGUAAUAUUUUAUUAGAGAUCUUAUCGAAUAAAGUGUUUGCUACCUCGAUGUUGACUUAGGUUUAUAUUUAGGCGCAGUAGUUUGAAUAUGUGGUCUGUUCGACCUUAAAUACCUCCAUGAGUUGAGUUAAGACCGGCGUAAGCCAGGUCGGUUCUUAUCUAUU